RNAcentral lists this ribosomal RNA (433 nucleotides) under uncultured bacterium. RNAcentral describes it as "partial 16S ribosomal RNA". It matches the Rfam family "Bacterial small subunit ribosomal RNA", at positions 29 to 507 of the family's 1533-position model. The record is from RNAcentral.
AACGAACGCUGGCGGCAUGCCUAACACAUGCCAGUCGAACGAGACCUUCGGGUCUAGUGGCGCACGGGUGCGUAACGCGUGGGAACCUGCCCUUAGGUUCGGAAUAACUCCCCGAAAGGGGUGCUAAUACCGGAUAAUGUCUUCGGACCAAAGAUUUAUCGCCUUUGGAUGGGCCCGCGUUGGAUUAGCUAGUUGGUAGGGUAAAAGCCUACCAAGGCGACGAUCCAUAGCUGGUCUGAGAGGAUGAUCAGCCACACUGGGACUGAGACACGGCCCAGACUCCUACGGGAGGCAGCAGUGGGGAAUAUUGGACAAUGGGCGAAAGUCUGAUCCAGCAAUGCCGCGUGAGUGAUGAAGGCCUUAGGGUUGUAAAGCUCUUUUACCCGGGAUGAUAAUGACAGUACCGGGAGAAUAAGCGCCGGCUAACUCCGUG